This 188-nucleotide ribosomal RNA is filed under the name Chromosera cyanophylla. Its description in RNAcentral is "partial 26S ribosomal RNA". It matches the Rfam family "Eukaryotic large subunit ribosomal RNA", at positions 1 to 176 of the family's 3401-position model. The record is from RNAcentral. Lineage: Eukaryota; Fungi; Basidiomycota; Agaricomycetes; Agaricales; Hygrophoraceae.
UUGAACUUUGAUCUCAAAUCAGGUAGGACUACCCGCUGAACUUAAGCAUAUCAAUAAGCGGAGGAAAAGAAACUAACAAGGAUUCCCCUAGUAACUGCGAGUGAAGCGGGAAAAGCUCAAAUUUAAAAUCUGGCGGUCCUUGCGGCUGUCCGAGUUGUAAUCUAGAGAAGUGUUUUCCGUGCUGGACC